UGGGGAAUAUUGGACAAUGGGCGCAAGCCUGAUCCAGCCAUGCCGCGUGCAGGAUGAAGGCCUUCGGGUUGUAAACUGCUUUUGUACGGAACGAAAAGACUCUGGUUAAUACCUGGGGUCCAUGGCGGUACCGUAAGAAUAAGCACCGGCUAACUACGUGCCAGCAGCCGCGGUAAUACGUAGGGUGCAAGCGUUAAUCGGAAUUACUGGGCGUAAAGCGUGCGCAGGCGGUUAUGCAAGACAGAUGUGAAAUCCCCGGGCUCAACCUGGGAACUGCAUUUGUGACUGCAUAGCUGGAGUGCGGCAGAGGGGGAUGGAAUUCCGCGUGUAGCAGUGAAAUGCGUAGAGAUGUGGAGGAACACCGAUGGCGAAGGCAGCCCCCUGGGCCAAUACUGACGCUCAUGCACGAAAGCGUGGGUAGCAAACA
Molecule: ribosomal RNA, 427 nt
Filed under: uncultured bacterium
Lineage: Bacteria
Description: bacterial SSU rRNA
Rfam family: Bacterial small subunit ribosomal RNA
Source: RNAcentral